Molecule: long non-coding RNA, 13851 nt
Filed under: Coffea arabica (coffee)
Lineage: Eukaryota; Viridiplantae; Streptophyta; Magnoliopsida; Gentianales; Rubiaceae
Description: long non-coding RNA (CARA_LNC000354)
Source: RNAcentral
AAUUUUUUUUUUUUUUUUUUUUUGGUGUUGGUGUUCGAGGUUGGGAUUGGUAAACCUGGCAAUUAGGCUAUGUGAACUGGGUUUUGACACGCUCGAACUUAGCCCCCAUGAACUAUCCGUUGAUGUAUUUGAAUAGCAAUAAUUUUGAUUAAAAAUUAUUUACGUGCAUUAGAAAUGGCAAAGGGAAUCAGAAUUUGCUCCCAAAGAAAGAAUGGAGGGAGGUUGGAGCGAGGGAAACAUACUCCAGCCUGUCCCCGCUCUAUAUAUAUUAGUGCCUAUAAUUAAAGAUGAUUAAUAAUUAUUAUUUGAUAUUUUGUAUUAUAAGAACUGAAGUAUGACAAUUUUAAUAUAUGAUAUUAAACAGAAAAAUCAUAAGUUAUGUAUUGAGUUAAAAAAAUAUAUUAAUAUGUAAUGAAGCAGAAUUAUAAGAUAUGAUCAACUACUUUGCACCUAACCUAAUAAAAUAAAAGACCUGCUUAUAUCUGCUUAUGUACUUUAUGGAUAUUAAAAUUUAUUGUUUAGUUUGAAUUUGAUCUUAAUAUAAAAGCAGUCCAUCACAUUAUCUUGUCAUAUAAAUGAGAUUUAAACAAUUAGCAUAUUUGAAGAAAAUUAUUGCUAGUAGAAUUUUGGUUCUUGCAAGCCAAAUUCUUGAAUUUAUAUUGAUUCCAAUAACAUAUCAUCAUGAGACCUCCACAUGCACCAAUCAAUCAAUUAUGAUUUAUUGUAUAAUUUAGAACAUAUAGUAAAGCAUCUCCUUCUCGAUAGGGAUUAUAAUCACUAAACAUCAGUUUUUGAUCCAAUUGCAAAAAAUACAACAACUAACAUGCUAAUUUAGAGGAAUAACCACAUCAAAUAAAGUACUAAAACAUCUUAGACCACUCAAUUCAAAAAAAUAAUUAAAAGUAAUAAAGUGCAUACUUUAGAUUUGCAGCCAAAUAGUUCUAAGUAGAUAGUUAAACCUAUUGGCAAAUCAAAUGAAAUGAAAAAUUUGCCUAAAUGGAAUCAUCAAUAAAAUAACAAACAAUUGAAAAUUGUCAUAACUAAUAGUUAAAACAACAAAAGUAGAUGCAAUCUGCAUAUGGAAAAAAUUUAAGAUGAUAAACUUACUUUAAACCACAAAUAAUAAUUAACAAAUGUGAUCUCCUCCCUAUCAUAUCUAUCUAACAUGGACAAUUGAAUUAAAACAUUAAAAAAUUAUCGCACAUUCAACCAUCAAGAUUACAGAUUUUUUACAACCAACAAGUAGAUUGGUUAAAGAAAACAUACCUAUUAAGAUUUCUUACAACCAAAAAGUAGAUUGGCUAAAGAAAAUACACCUAUUGAGAAAGGUGUUGCAAAAUGGGGAAGAGGAGUAGCUAAUGUAGCAACAUCCGAAUUUGAUAGGCUCCAUGAUUGUGGUUGAAAGAAGUUAUAAGUAAAUGAAAUAAAUUUGAACAGAUGGGGUAACGGCCAAUAAAGCAAACUUCUCUAUAUAUCAUAAGUUUGUAAAUAACUGAUGAGAAAUGCUUUAACAAACUAAUAGACUUGGAUGUUAAUACAAUUAAAUGAUUAGAAGGGUUUUUAUGUAAUUUCACUAAAACACAAGUUGAAUUUAGUUAUACCUAGUGUUCAAUCGAAUAUCUGUCACCCCUAGCUUUAAAUGUCUAAAAGGACAUCUAAGUAAUUACAACAAAACUAAAUUAGCUAAAAUGACUUAUAUUCAAUACUCCAAUUGCACUUCAAAUACUUUUAUAUUCCCAAAAUAGCCCUACCUUUUCGGUUGAAAUCCAAAGAACAUCUUUACUCUAAACGCAUUCUUAUAUAGUAUAAGGACACAUGCAUAUGUAGAGCUGUUAAACUUCACGAGUAGAUCGAAAGCUCGUUAGAGCUCGGCUCAAUAAGCUUCGAGUUCGCCUCAUUAGUUGCGGUAAACUAGCCGAGCUCGAGCUAAAAAUGUAUUCUACUUGUUUGAUAUCCGAAUAGCUCGUUAAUAAAGGACAUAUUUGUUAUUUUAGAAGUCAAAAGUAUAAAAAUUGAAAAUUAUAGAUUUUAUUGAAAUUAGUUUGUACGAGCUCGAGCUCGUACAAGCUCCAAGUCGAGUUCGAACUCGAGCUCAAGCCACAUAUACAUUUGAUGAGUCGAGUUCGAAGACAUUUUAAAUCUCGUUUGCCUAAUGAGCUCGAGUCGAGCUCUACUCGAAUUACACUCGAGUUGAGCUCGGCAGCCAAAUAGCCGGCUCGACUCGACUCGAUUAACAGCUCUACGCACAUGUAUAUUUUGCAUGGCUGGUCAUUGUAGUUUGCUUUCUAUGCCAAAUUUGAUUUUGUAAUCAUCUUAGGUACUACUGCUUGUGGAUAUUAAUUGAUUGUCAAGUCCAGUGAUAUUCUCCACUUUCCAAGAAAAAUAAAUAAAUAUAUUAAUCUUUGCUCUUGUCUACCAUAUUACCCAUGGUACAUAAUACUUUUGGAUAUGCCAAAAGGUUGCCAUUGGAUCAAGAUUUUGUGCCGGCAGGGGAGCGGGGCGGGGUGAGACGUUGGGUGAGGAAAGAUAUUUGGCAACGAGGUGAAGGACGGACGACAAGGUGUGCCUGUUGUCAUUUUUUAACUUGUAUUACAAACAUAUUUUUAAUAUAUUUUUUUAAUUUUUUAAAUUAUGCUUUUAUCUCACAUACAUUGCAUUGCAAAAAUUGUUAUAGUAAUUAUUUUAAAUAAUCUCUCAUCUUUUUUUGUAAUUUUAAAAUCAGCUCAAUUAAUUUUAUAUUGCUGUAGUUCAUACUUGACUCACAAAAGAAGUCGAGCCAAAUUCGAGCAGGCCCAAACUCAUGUUAGGUAUUUUUUAAGUUAACACAAUCUAGUUAAACGAAACAACCAACUAAUCCAUAAACGUUCUAUAACAUCUAAAUAAAGUUGCAAUAUCAAUAAAAAUUUGAAUUUCAUGACCAAAUUUAAUAUAGUUUACUAUAACAUCCAUAAACUUAGUAACUAGAGAUUAAAAAGAAUAAAUUAUCAUAAAAUUAACCAUCUAGAAUUCAAUCAUUUAACAAGAUUUUGUUAAAAAAUCUUCUUAAUUCCUACAUAACCUGUAAAAUUCUAGAAAAUGAAGGAUGAUGUUUUCUUCUUGUUAAGAUUGGAGAUUAUUAAGUAACUAGGAUUGAGUAAAUAGUGAAGAAAGUGUGGAGAAAGAUAGAAUAAUGGAUCUUUGAUACCGCAUAGACAACAUUGUUGCAAAGGGAGAAAUGACAAGCUAUAUGUUAAAUGGUUUAUCUAACGGGUGUCUAUAGGAUACUCGUUAAAAUAUAUUUCAGAUGUUAUAUUUUUUGAAAUAUAAAAUUAAUUAGAAAAAAGUAAAUAAAUAUAAUGGAGGGUAAGUAAGAUUAAAUAGGAAAAAUAUAUAAAUGUAAGAGAGAAUAAUAAUGGUUAGUAUGCGUAUUUAUAUGAUAAGUUAUGUGCGUUAACAAUGUGCAAAGAGUACCUGCCAGAUGUUACAAAGCCAUUAUUCGAUAGAGAGUUAAGUGGAUUUAGUGUAACCCAAGCUUUAACUCCCGUCCAAAUCAGCUCAACUCACCCAGCACAAAGGCACGUUCCAAUAAAUUACGGCAGAAUGAGCUGAGCUUGGGGCCAGCGCAGCCCGACUGGGGAUGUACUGACGGCUAAAACAAUGGGUUGUACUGAAGGAAUGCCCAACCCAAGCAUCCGAUUGCGCUAAUUUAUCACCAAAUCGAGUUUAAAUGGAGGAAAAUUUUUCGAAAACAAUGGAUUUGAUUUAUGGCAAACUGAGAAGAUUAUGGAGAAUGGUGAAGAAUAAUUAGGUCCCUUUUGGAUUGUUCUUGUUUUAGCCAUCAUCUUUUUUUAUCUGUCAAAAUUACCCCUCACUUCAUGAAUUGGAGUCUACAAUAUAUGCUUCAUCAAUGUAUUUCUUGAAAUUUUGAGAUCCAAUCUGAUUGCAAGGGAGUUGUGGAAAGUAUCAAGGCAGGAUGCAGGGGGGACCCGAAUGUGGGAACCAUAGUAACAGAUAUUCUUAGGCUGAGGGAUACGUUUCAGCAGUGUUACUUUUCCUUUGUUAAAAGGGAAGGGAAUUGUGUAAGUCAUAAUCUGGCAAAAUUUGCCAUGCAAAUGACUAAUGAUAUAGAGUGGGAAGAUUCUUUCCCAGUUUGGCUAGUAAACUUAGCCAAGAAAGAUGUAAGAGCAGUUGCUCAUCUAGUGUAAUCUUUGACUAUUAAUGAAAGAUGUUAUCGUUUGAAAAAAAAAAAAAAAAAAUCCCAUAUCAAGGAUUCUUUUUUUUCCAUGUUUUAAUUUUUUUUUUCUUUCUCUGAGACUUUCGUUAUUUCCUUCUCUAGACCAUCACAGCGUCACGAAUCAAUUUGCACAAAUGUUAAAUCAAUUCAUUUUUCAGUUCGUGCCAAGUAGAUGACGACGUUUCUUUAUUCCCCUCUCUAAUUCACACGACGUUUCUUCAACUUCGUAGGUCGCAGCUGACCGAACUUAAAAGGGUUCAAGGAGCCUUGAAUACGAGGCGAUUAGGGCUAUGUUCCAUUAUAGUUUUGAGUUUACGGUGGCAUGCAAGAAUUAGUAAUUACACGAAACUGCUCUCACUCGCCUGUUAGUAUCCGUUUUCAAAAAAAAUGGAAUUGUUAUACGGAUGAUUUGAACGCUACUGUCUGUUAUGAUUAGACUGGAAAGGACGGCAAAAAUGGUCCACGAACUGCCUUAUCUUUUAUUUUUUUGGGGGUCCAAAUUAUCUUUUAUUGUUUGGUUUGAUGCGACAAUAUCAAAUAUACUUGGAUUGUUCAUGUUAAUACAGCUGCCCGUUAUCAUAAAGUUCUUGGAAGAAAUUCAUGCCCAAUAUACUUUAGUUGCUUGUAUAUGAACUGAAAGUCAACAAAAGGUUUCUGAAUUCUGUACAAUUGCCGUGGCCCAGAACUCACGUGAUGAUUUCAAGUCGCAAAUCUUAAAAACAGGCUGUCUUCUAAUCUAGUAAUAGCAGAUAACAACACAGACAAUAGUAGUGGUGGCAGUAUGCCUAAAUCACCUUGGACUCGGGGCAGGGACGGUUGCACCUGCAACCGUCCCUGACAAAUUUCCUCUUCAUCAACAGCGCGUAACUUCUUUUGUUCACCGUGUAACUUUUUUUCUACAGGUUGUAUUUUCACAACAGAUAGUGAUGGACCCCACACUUAGCGCGAAAAUCAAGUUACCACUUAUUAUCUGAGCCGCACAUUUUUUUGAGGUCCAAUCUGGACCAUGAACCGUGCAGGGACGGUCGUCCCUGCCCCAAAUCCAAAUGACCUUUGUUCCCAACUAACUGUUUAGAUGCCACGGGAAUAAUGGUAAGAGUCCUCCGCUUGAUUGAUUGAUUAAUUUUGGUGCUGCACUGGAAGCUGGCCAGUCCCUUUUCCGACUCAUUUUUCUUCAAAGUGGGUGUGGACCAGAUACAAAAUUACUGCAAAAGAGACAUGGCAGUGUGUUGAUUUGGGGAUGAAGUACGGCGCAAGUCUUUUGCUGAAAGCUAAAGGUUAAAUAAUUCGUGUAGCCAAGGUUGGUGGUCUCUGAAAAGCUUCAUGUGUGCCUGAAUAAUAGACAAAGGAAGUGGAAGCCUCAACUGAAUUUCACUCCACAGCUUCACCAAGAAAUCAACAAAUUACUCGAAUAUUCUCUACUGCUUCUGGACCGCCCGGUCAUUUACCUCCUGAGCCGAGGUCGACCCGCCGGCUUAUUCCAAAAAAUUGGUAGGCUGAAUUGACUGUUUACCACCCAUUUCCGGCGCUUCUCUCGAUUUUAAUCUUUUUUUUUUUUUUUAAUUUUGUUUGGCCUUUCUUCGAUUUCAAAUUAAUAUUGGUAUUGCUUGACCUCUAGGGAAUUCUUGUUUACAUUAAUUAAUAGAGUGUAUUUUAGUACAAACUUACGACCUUCUUCUAUUGACGCCCUCCAAAAAAAAAAAAAAAAAAAAUGUUUCCAUUCGCACGAGUCUAUCUACUUCUGUUGAAGGAUUGACUCAUGUCUAGACAUAUUAAUAGGUCGGAUAUUACUCAGAUCCAAUCCAAACUCAAUAUAUUUGGAUAGGAGCGAACACCCUCCAAAGAAACAAAAAAUCUUCCAUUGUAGUGAAAUGUUUAAUAAAAGCAGUUAAGAUGCUUAAAAAGGAAUAAAAGCAAUUAAGAAACAUGAAUAUUGGGUCUGACAGAUUUUUAGGCCCCCAAAAAAAGUUAUAAGUUAUUUGAUGAAACCCUAAUUGAAUCAAAAGGUCAAUUAAUUUAAUGACAAGAUAUAUAAAUAAAUCUAUGACUGCUUUAAUCGGUUAAACACUAGUGCAACUGCCAAUGGGGCCCAAGUGAAUAAUGGGGAGCCCAUAUCUUGCUUCUGUCCUUCACUAAGACAAUUGAGCUAGGUGUUGGGCCAAACAAAAUGACAAGCAUAAUUGGGCUAGGUGUUCAAGAUCUAAAUGUUAGUCCAUUCAAUAUACGUAUUUAUUUAAACAAAAAAAAGAAAAAAGAAAAAGAAAAGAAGAAGAGGAAGAAGAAGGCGAUCGGGCAUUUGCGGGGAAGGAAAAAAAUUUAGAGAAAGAUGGAAGCAGGUAAAGCAGCUGGUACCGAUUCCGGGGAAGAGAGUAGGAUGAUCAAAGUUAAUGUGAAGUUCGGUGGACGGUCUAUACCGGUGGAAAUUCCGUUGGACUCCACCGUCAGAGACCUCAAGUCUAUCCUUCAACCCCUCACUAAUGUCCUCCCUCGUGGCCAAAAGUUCAUCUUCAAAGGUGUAAAUUUGUUAUUGGACGUUUUAGACAAAUAAUCCGAUGCCUUUAAUUCUUGAAGAAGUGUAAUCGAGUCAAUUCUUGAACUUUUUUUUUUUUUUAGGCCGUGUAUUAUGAUUUGCAGGGAAAGUUUUGGUGGAUGAAAUGACAAUGAGGUCAUCGGAAAUUAUCAAUGGUUCUAAAAUCAUGCUCAUGGCUACUCAAGGUCUACACCAAGGGGUAUCUUUUGUCGAUCACUAUGCUUUAUUAUUCCAUUUUAGCUAUGUUUUGUCGAUUGUCUCUGCUAAUUUUGAAAGAGCUGAUUCUAAUGAUUAUGAUGUAAAUGUAUAGGAUGGCCCCAUUAAGCAGGAAGCUCCGGCUAUAGAGAAGAAUUUGAGGAGGAGAACAAGUGAACUGCUGAAGGCAAACAAAGAAGUUUCUGUUCCAAAAAGCCAGCUCGAAAGAUGGAAAGCUACUGGGGUUAUUGCACUGUCUGAGUGCAAUCUGAAGGUGUUGAGGAACAGUCUUUCUUCUUGUUGAAUUAAGCUAGCACUACUGCUCCUGCUACUCUUGCUUUUCUUGAUGUUUGUGUACUUAAAAUGAUUCGUGUUCCUUGAUGUUUGUGUCCUAUUUUCAAGAAUAGUAAGUAAAUUAGUGAUCCUUCCAAAUCUUUUGGGAUUUAUGUCGGUUCUGUCUGAUUUUCUACUUGAUUGUAUUCAGUUAGAGUGCACGAGUUUGUUGUUUUUUCCUCUGUAAGUACUGAGCUAAAUCAGUAGACCUUGUCCUAAUACUGAAGUGGAAAAACACGAUAACUGAUGAGUAAAUUAAAUUGUACCCUCUUCGCUGUUUGCUUAGUUUUCAGAGGUAUCUAAUGUAGCUAUUCCAGCGUGCUGCUUAUUAUGGUGGAUGCAUAGUGAUUUGUUCCGAGUUAGCAUUCUCACACUUAUAGUGGAUGCAUAGUGAUUUGUUCCGAGUUAGCAUUCUCACACUUAUAGUUCAUGGAUUAUCUUAUUAUUAGUAUUUUUUUAAAUAAUCUGCUAUAUGGUUCUGUGAGCUCUGCAUCUCUGAAUCUUUAGUUUGUUUGGUUGAGAGCAUGAUUAAUAUAUUUUUGGUGACUGAAAGGCCAUACCUGAGGAAGUCUGGAUGUGUGGACCUUCCGCUAGACUCCUUGAUCUCAGCCACAACUCGCUACUACAACUUCCAGAUAAAAUUGCCUGUUUGAGCUCCAUGCAGGUUAGACAAAACUCUUUCAGUGGUUGCUCUUUACUAGUUAUGUGAGGAACUUCUCCUCAAUAUGGUUCUGAUUUUGCUUUUAUCUUCAUCUAAUUCUGCAGAAACUGCUCCUUAAUGCCAAUGAUUUAUCAGAUAAAUUAAUUAGCUGGGAAGGGUUAACCUCACUGAAGUCUCUUACCAUUCUGUCGUUGAAUCAAAACUGGUACUGCAACUGACUUUUGUUGCGAGAAAUUGGGUGGAUUUCAUUCACUUUAUAUGCUGGUUUACCUAUACUCUAAUAGUAUGUGACAAGUAACUUGCAUUGGUGGUGAACAUUCUUUGGAUCUUUUAGUGCACUGUCAUAGUAUCUACUUGUAAAAUUUCAGUGUUGCAAGGCUUUUAAGCUGGUAGUGUCAGAUCUCAGAGUGCUUGCUUCUCCUGAAGCCUGACCAAAUGCACUCCCCCUUCUCCAAAAAAAGGGGGCAAAAAAAAGCAAAGGGACAAUGCUUUCGCUGGUUUCUAUUUUGGUCUUUGCAAUCUGUUGUUUAAGUGCUAUCUAGUACUGAUUUAGUAACCAGUAAAUGCUAUAUAAGACAAAUUUACUACUGUGCUGGAAGUUGUCCCUCAUGCACUGGUGAUAUCUUUUUAUGAUGAUAAUUUCACUAGCCAUACAGAAAUUGACUUGUAGUGCAGAGUGUUUGUUUUCUGUAAAAUCCAAUAUGAAAGAAUCUAUUUUUGGUCUAUUAAUGUCCUCCAAGUAUUGCGUAAGUUUCAUUUAUCAUUGCUAGAGUACUUACGUAUGUCAUUGUGGUUGUGCUUGUGUUACUUUUUUCUUUUUCUUUCCAUUCUGUUUUCCUCUUGGUUAGACAUGCAUGUGUGCUCUAGUUGGGCAUUGAUAUUAUUAUGUGAGUGAGUGCAGCAUUAUAACAUUACAGGCUUUGGUUUAUUUUCAAUGUUGUUGUACUGCAACUGCGAGCCUCGAUUAUGUAGUUGCAUCAAUCCAGUUCAUUGUAUUCACUUAUUUUCUUUUGUUUCUUAUGUAAUAUGAUCAGUUUAGCAGUGCUGCCUUCUGCCAUCGGGGCUUUGACGUCUUUGAGGCAACUUCUUGUUGAAAAUAACAAGUUGACAUGUCUCCCAACUGAAAUAGGCCUUCUAACAAAUCUUCAAAUCCUGAAAGCAGCGAACAAUCGGUAAAGUGUGAAAUAAUUUACUUGUGAAAUAUCUGAAUUUUAUUCUUUUACUCGAGCAAUUUAACUCGUAGAGAAAUUUAUGGAGAUAAUUGUUUUUUCUUUCCUUCCAUAGUUUUUGGUUUUGUUGUUUCAUGUUUUCUUUACAUGAUUACGAAUGUCAUAUCCUGAGCUUAGAUGGUUGACUCUGACACUUCAUUUGCUUUUUUCCCAUAUUGGAAGAAGUAGACAGGAUUAGUUCCAAAAGAAAGCGUAAAUAUACCACUCAGUACUAUGAAUUCUAAAGAACAUAUUUAAUGCUAAAUGCAGGAUAAACGAUAUUCCUGCAAGCAUAGGGGAAUGCAUUUCUCUUGUUGAGGUAAAAGUCUGCUUCGUCUCUACCAGUUUUUUCUCAUUUUUCCUAUCUUUAUUUUUUAUUUUCUAUAUAUAUUCUGUAAAGCCAUUUGCCAAACCCAAAUAACAAAGAAGUAUGGAGAGAGAGGGAGAGAGAUGCAAAGUUUUUGUCUCUUACUGAUCAGGCAGUCAAGCUUUUCAUGUUUCCUAUGUUUGCUUUUCACAGUUCCCUAUCUCGGAAUCUCGUUGUUUGUUGUUCUGCAGGUUGAUCUCUCAUCAAAUCUCCUGGUAGAAUUACCAGAGACAUUUGGGAAUUUAAAAGAUUUGAAGGUCUAUCUGCUAGCCUUUUUUAUCUUGGAAUUUCUUUAUUCUCAGAUCCCUCUUUAUUUCAAAUUGGAAGUAAAAGUAAAAUACGGAAGUACUAACAUCUGGCCUUAAUAUGCGAAAAAGAGGGCAAGUAAUGCAAUUUAUGUUAUACCAAAAAUGAAUUUGAUCUUUUUCAAGUAUAUGAAUUUGGGAUUUGCCCUUGUUCAGUGAAGCUUGUAGACGCUUUUAGAACUUCCAGAUGUAUCGGUAGAUUGCCUUACUAUAAAAGAUGUACAAUGUUUCUUAAAUUACCGCGAUAGUGACACUCUAGAUUUGCUCCCAUCUUAUUCUGUGUUGCAGGCUUUGUAUACAAGUAAUAAUGGACUGAGAUCCCUCCCCAGUACCCUAUUUAAAAUGUGUAGCCAACUUUCGAUUCUGGAUCUGCAUGGGACAGAAGUAACAAUGGAUGUUCUUCGCCAGGUUCUUUUUCUUCUCCAAAUCAUAUGUGAUUCAGAUCCCCUCACUGUAUUCAAAUUUAUGUAUGAAUCCAUUUUGUUUCUUACAGUUUGAAGGAUGGGAUGAUUUUGAUAAUCGCCGCCGCUUGAAACAUCAGAAGCAGCUGGAUUUCCGAGUUGCUGGGUCAGCUGAAUUUGAUGAAGGUGCUGACAAGCGCUACUGAGCUGCUAGUUGAGACACUUGCCGGUUGGAGACCUACACAACAGUAACGUAGGAAAGUCAUAGUCUGUCCAUUCAAAGUUCUCAGCUGCCAACGGAUUUUGUUGUCUGAUGGUUCCAAGGCUGAGAGUAUGCAUAUAUACAAUCACAAUUGAACGCAUGAUUAAUAUCUACAAAAUGGAACUACUAGUGAGUAAUAUCAACAACCAUAUUUAAAGUAGUAUUAUCUGAUUCCUGCACUUUUCCUAUUGGGGUAACAACCUUAAUUGCGUGAGAGGCCCCCGCCCAACCUUGCAUUUGCCUGCCGUGUCCAAAUAAAAGAACGAAAUUUGAGUUAAACCAAAUAAAAGAACGAAAAAAAAAAGCAGCUUUUUUCGUGUUUUGUUUUUGUCUGUACUCUGUUUCACCAUCUUCUGUGUGGAUUGCUUUUUUGAACACAUAUUUAUCAAUCAACAGCGUAGUGAGAGAUUGCAAACUUGUUACCAUUCGCUGAAACUUUUACACGCUUUUCAUUACCCACAAUGUUUUGUCGCCUGCAGAGUACCAUGGAGAAAUAAUUGAAGCACAGUAAUGUUUCAAUGUCACUUCGCUUAUAGAAAUCCAAAUGGUAAAGAAAGUAGCUUGCAGAAACACACGUAGGAAGGCGAGAUGAAACAAAGAAGCUCUUUUGAGAUGCAAAUAGGCAGACCACAGCCAUAAAGGACAUUCUCAAGGUCUCUGAAUGAAUAAAAUUUUCUCUUCGUUAUAACCAAGGCGACGUCCAGAGAUGGUCUUUUUCUUUCUUUCUUUCAUUUUUUUGAAGUCUGGCCAUACCUUUCACAAAGCCAUGCAAAAUUAUACCAAUUAUUUUCGAAUAUUUAUUUUGGAAUUUCCUGAACUAAUAAAAGAAGUUUGUGAAGAAAUACGCCGUCCAUCCCAUUUUGAUAGUCUUAAUUUUUUUCGCAACUAUGUAAAGUUAUACCAAUUAUUUUUGAAAUUUCCUGAACUAAUAAAAGAAGUUUACUAAGUAAUACUCCCUCUAUCCUACUUUAACAAUCUUGGUUUUUUUCUAGAACAAUUUUAAAAAAUUAGCUAACUUUGUUGAAAAAGUAAAUAUAGCCUAAUGUUUUUCUAAAAUACCCUUACAUUAAUAUAUGAAGUGUCACUAAUCACUACACAUUUACAUUAAUUAUAAUACCAUUCAAGACAUAUAUCAAAACAAUUAUUGGUGGAAAAGUUGACUGUAUUAAAUAAAGUAGGUUAUAUUUACUAAUAACGAAAUAUAUUAAAUAAUGGUAUUUCAGAGAAAUUAAAAGUUAACUAUAUUAUUCAAUUGGCAGGUGAACUAUAAUUUGAGAUGGAUGAAAAAGGAAAACAAGAUUAUCAAGUAGGACUAAGGGAGUAAUCAACUUAUGUAGGUGGAAGGAAGUAUCAUCUUGAAAUUUCAGUUAUUGAAGGAUUCUCUUGUAAUUUGCAAAUUCUGCUUUUGUUUUAACAAAAAAUUGAAGUUCUCUUACCAAUUUUUUAGCAUAUAUUUUUAAUAAAAGAUGGAAAGAUAGAAACUUCUUACGAUGGAAAGAUAAUUGAAGUCUAAAUUAUUAUUAUCUCACCUCCUACUCAUUCUGCGAUAGCUCAUUUAAAUUCUCUCAUGGGAUUAAUUUAUCCCUCAUAUGGGGAAUUAAUUCGGUUAGGAGUGAUGUAAUAAUCUUAUAUAUAAAAAGCAACCAAAAUGGGAUGAUAUGGGAUUAAUAUUUCAAUCUUGUAUCAUCUCAUGAACUAAACAAAUUCUAAAGCACGAAUAUACUUUCGGCUACCUAAUGUAUAGAGGCACUUGUGUAGUAACUAUAAUUUUCCUCAUGUUUACCAUAAAGAAAAUUAGGAAGUUUGUCUUAACAAUAGAGACAUAUUUUGAAUUAUAAAAUAAACAUGUGAUAGUAUAUUUUAAAUAAUUAUCAUGUAAUUUGAAUCUCAAAAUCUUAGAAGGAACCUAACAGUUUGAGGAGUGAAAGUGUCUGAACAAUACAUCCACUGUCUAUUUACUAAUUCUCUAUUAUACUCACUCACUCUUAUAAAAGUUAAGAAAAUAUCCAUCCCUAUGAUCUCUGUUUUCGUAGUGUAUUCUUUCUUUUCAACUUGAAUGGUCAUUAGUCUGCCGUCUGCCAGGCGUGACGAGGAACCAGCGUUAUUAAGAUAGUAAGGCAAACUUCAAUGCAUCAAUUAAUUUAUACAAACCAACAGCCCUUUGGAUGAUUGGCCACUCCCAUAGAUUUUUAAGUCUCGGUGGGAUGAGAGGUCAAAGAUUCAAACAUUACUUUUCAUUAAUGUGUCAUUAUACGUGAUUUCUUCUAAGACGGUCGGCCCAAUGUAGACUAGAGUAGGAAUAAAAAUAGGCCAGACUAACUGAUGCCGUCUGAUUAAAAAAAAAAAAAAAAAACUUGUUUACACCUAAGCUGUUUCAUUGAGCACAUAUGAAGUUGGAUAAAGAAUUCACCAAUACCUUGGUCAAAUACAAGGAUGACAAUGGAGGCGGAUGACCGUGGGCAACCGCCCCGCGGGGCGCUAAUGGGGCGGGGGCGGGUGGAAUUCCUCCCCUCUCGCUUAGAAACGGGGUGGGGGGCAGGGGAGUGCACAGCCGCUCCAUCCCCCGCUCCGCCACCCGCUUUAAAAAAAUAAAUAUAUAAAAUAUAUAUGUAUGUAAUUAUAUAUAUAAUAUAUAAUUUAAUUAGUUACAAACUUAUGAUAAUGAUAUUAUUAGUUAUAUGUAUUAUAUGAUGUUUAUUAGAAUAUAUAAUAUAAUUGAUUAUUAAUUAUACUAAUAAUUAUAUAUGUGUACUAAUACAAAUUAUUAAUUGAUUAUACUACAUUUACAAAUACAUUUAUACUAAAUCCUUAAUUACACUUAAUACAAUAACAUUUUUUUCUUAAAAAAAGCACAAGCACAAUAACGAAUUAGUGAUUGUAUUCUGCCCAAUUAGCGAUGCCUUCUGCGUCGUUUGCGUUGAGUGGUGUGUGUGCGGUUUCUCUAACAUUUGUGAAAGAAAAAAACUUCUUGGACACAAUGCGCGUCACUGUUUUUCAUGAUUCAACCUAUUAGAUGCAUCUAACUACAACUGAUUCGAUUAUCGGCUAAAUACCUGCAUGUAACAAAAAAAAACACAAUCAAACAAUCCCGCACAAUAGACGAGCAUAAUCAAGAACGACAACAAAAGGGUGCGCAGCUCAAGUGUCCCAGCUGUAACAUCUCAUUCUGUAUUUUAUGCAUGAAAGUUGGAAAAUACUUGUACAUGCAGCUGACUGAUUCAUCAGUAGACAGGAAUUACAUUUGCUUAAAACAAGUAGUCCUAACGAAAGUAAAUGGAUAUGAGAGGGAUGUCAAUGUCAUUAUCUUCAUCAUCCUCGCAAGCUACUACAACAUCCAAGUGACGCGAUAUGCUGGAAUCUCCACCUUGGCCACCUC